UACGUAGGGGGCAAGCGUUGUUCGGAAUUACUGGGCGUAAAGGGCGCGUAGGCGGCACGGCAAGUCAGGAGUGAAAGGCCUGGGCUCAACCGAGGAACUGCGCCCGAGACUGCUUCUCUUGAGUCCCGGAGAGGAAGGUGGAAUUCCCGGUGUAGCGGUGAAAUGUGUAGAGAUCGGGAGGAACACCGGUGGCGAAGGCGGCCUUCUGGACGGUGACUGACGCUGAGGCGCGAAAGCGUGGGGAGCAAGCGGG
RNAcentral lists this ribosomal RNA (253 nucleotides) under uncultured bacterium. RNAcentral's name for it is "partial 16S ribosomal RNA". It matches the Rfam family "Bacterial small subunit ribosomal RNA", at positions 524 to 776 of the family's 1533-position model. The record is from RNAcentral.